AUGAAAGUACAGCCCCGAUUUGCAGACGCUGUGUGUAGAGGUUCUGGAGCAGAAGUCCCAUUGUAAACAUACCACGGCAGACCCGACGAUGUUUGCAUGAUGUUUUUUUUUUUCCAUAUCUUUUGAAAGCCAGGUCAAGUCUCCAAAAGUCCAAAGGCGAAAUAAGGGUGGCGGCUCACAACAGUUUUUGUUUGCUUGUCAUGGUCCCUGUGCCUUCUGAGCUGACUCUGUAUUGCUAGAAGUGUUUCCUGUUGUGCUGUGUCUCUCUCUCUCCUCCCGCGCGCAUAACUGCCUGACCUCAUCGGCCACUGGACUGUCGCCGUUCGAAGCCUCUCUGGGCUACUGUUACCGGCACCAGACCUAGGGGAAUCUGGACCGGCAGCAAGCGGCACACAGGCUAGAGAGCACUGCGUAGCCAGCCAUGGAGGGUGAGCAUACCAUCCCUUCAGUGCAACACCAUUUCUGCAGGUACCACUGGGCCUGGCGUGCCACCGAAGCCACUCUGCUACAGACAGUGGAGUGCAACAAGAUGCUGACCACCGCCAGGUCCCUGCUCCUGACUAUACGGUUGGGCAAAAGGUCAAACACGUGCUCUCCAGCCCCUUGUGCCCUACUUUCAGGCCCCCUCCGCCCGCCCGGCUCGUGGAUGGGCAGGAAGUGUUUAACAUCACCUGCAUUAUGGACUCUCGGCGGUGGGGGAAGGGUGUUCGGUGAGCUUUAAAGCCGGAGUGAGAGAGCUAACCUGAGCGUCAGAGGAGGAUCAUUGUACAUAGCCCUCAUGUCUUUAUCCUGUUUUUCUUCUUUCACCCCAACCGGUCGCAGCAGAUGGCCGCC
Long non-coding RNA from Oreochromis niloticus (Nile tilapia), 834 nucleotides. RefSeq lists it as uncharacterized. The transcript is spliced from 4 exons. Lineage: Eukaryota; Metazoa; Chordata; Actinopteri; Cichliformes; Cichlidae. The record is from RefSeq and is a predicted model, not a curated record.